AUUGAACGCUGGCGGCAGGCCUAACACAUGCAAGUCGAGCGGAUGAAGGGAGCUUGCUCCUGGAUUCAGCGGCGGACGGGUGAGUAAUGCCUAGGAAUCUGCCUGGUAGUGGGGGAUAACGUCCGGAAACGGGCGCUAAUACCGCAUACGUCCUGAGGGAGAAAGUGGGGGAUCUUCGGACCUCACGCUAUCAGAUGAGCCUAGGUCGGAUUAGCUAGUUGGUGGGGUAAAGGCCUACCAAGGCGACGAUCCGUAACUGGUCUGAGAGGCUGAUCAGUCACACUGGAACUGAGACACGGUCCAGACUCCUACGGGAGGCAGCAGUGGGGAAUAUUGGACAAUGGGCGAAAGCCUGAUCCAGCCAUGCCGCGUGUGUGAAGAAGGUCUUCGGAUUGUAAAACACUUUAAGUUGGGAGGAAGGGCAGUAAGUUAAUACCUUGCUGUUUUGACGUUACCAACAGAAUAAGCACCGGCUAACUUCGUG
RNAcentral lists this ribosomal RNA (484 nucleotides) under uncultured bacterium. RNAcentral's name for it is "partial 16S ribosomal RNA". It matches the Rfam family "Bacterial small subunit ribosomal RNA", at positions 30 to 507 of the family's 1533-position model. The record is from RNAcentral.